GCAUGCCUGGCUCCCUGUAUGCCACACGUCGAGACCGAUCUGCUUUCGAGAUUGCCUUUCCCGGGUGGCGUACCGUGAGCCAAGCAUGC
Molecule: microRNA precursor, 89 nt
Filed under: Daucus carota subsp. sativus
Lineage: Eukaryota; Viridiplantae; Streptophyta; Magnoliopsida; Apiales; Apiaceae
Description: pre miRNA mir-160
Rfam family: mir-160 microRNA precursor family
About the family: The hairpin precursors (represented here) are predicted based on base pairing and cross-species conservation -- their extents are not known. In this case the mature sequence is excised from the 5' arm of the hairpin.
Source: Rfam by way of RNAcentral